Molecule: ribosomal RNA, 1095 nt
Filed under: Chalara sp. OC0015
Lineage: Eukaryota; Fungi; Ascomycota; Leotiomycetes; Helotiales
Description: bacterial SSU rRNA
Rfam family: Eukaryotic small subunit ribosomal RNA
Source: RNAcentral
UAUACCGUGAAACUGCGAAUGGCUCAUUAAAUCAGUUAUCGUUUAUUUGAUAGUACCUUACUACUUGGAUAACCGUGGUAAUUCUAGAGCUAAUACAUGCUAAAAACCUCGACUUCGGAAGGGGUGUAUUUAUUAGAUAAAAAACCAAUGCCCUUCGGGGCUCCCUGGUGAUUCAUAGUAACUUAACGAAUCGCAUGGCCUUGUGCCGGCGAUGGCUCAUUCAAAUUUCUGCCCUAUCAACUUUCGAUGGUACGGUCUUGGCCUACCAUGGUUUCAACGGGUAACGGGGAAUUAGGGUUCUAUUCCGGAGAGGGAGCCUGAGAAACGUAAGUCUAUAUCCAGCUCUCAUCUGCCGUAAUACAUUUGCUAACAUUCAUUUUACAGGGCUACCACAUCCAAGGAAGGCAGCAGGCGCGCAAAUUACCCAAUCCUGAUACAGGGAGGUAGUGACAAUAAAUACUGAUACAGGGCUCUUUUGGGUCUUGUAAUUGGAAUGAGUACAAUUUAAAUCCCUUAACGAGGAACAAUUGGAGGGCAAGUCUGGUGCCAGCAGCCGCGGUAAUUCCAGCUCCAAUAGCGUAUAUUAAAGUUGUUGCAGUUAAAAAGCUCGUAGUUGAACCUUGGGCCUGGCUGUCCGGUCCGCCUCACCGCGUGCACUGGUUCGGCCGGGCCUUUCCUCCUAGGGAACCGCAUGCCCUUCAUUGGGUGUGUCGGGGAACUAGGACUUUUACUUUGAAAAAAUUAGAGUGUUCAAAGCAGGCCUAUGCUCGGAUACAUUAGCAUGGAAUAAUAGAAUAGGACGUGUGGUUCUAUUUUGUUGGUUUCUAGGACCGCCGUAAUGAUUAAUAGGGAUAGUCGGGGGCAUCAGUAUUCCGUUGUCAGAGGUGAAAUUCUUGGAUUUACGGAAGACUAACUACUGCGAAAGCAUUUGCCAAGGAUGUUUUCAUUAAUCAGUGAACGAAAGUUAGGGGAUCGAAAACGAUCAGAUACCGUUGUAGUCUUAACCAUAAACUAUGCCGACUAGGGAUCGGGCGAUGUUAUCUUUUUGACUCGCUCGGCACCUUACGAGAAAUCAAAGUCUUUGGGUUCUGGGGG